ACGAACGCUGGCGGCGUGCUUAACACAUGCCAGUCGAACGGAAAGGCCCUGCUUUUGUGGGGUGCUCGAGUGGCGAACGGGUGAGUAACACGUGAGUAACCUGCCCUUGACUUUGGGAUAACUUCAGGAAACUGGGGCUAAUACCGGAUAGGAGCUCCUGCUGCAUGGUGGGGGUUGGAAAGUUUCGGCGGUUGGGGAUGGACUCGCGGCUUAUCAGCUUGUUGGUAGGGUAGUGGCUUACCAAGGCUUUGACGGGUAGCCGGCCUGAGAGGGUGACCGGCCACAUUGGGACUGAGAUACGGCCCAGACUCCUACGGGAGGCAGCAGUGGGGAAUAUUGCACAAUGGGCGGAAGCCUGAUGCAGCAACGCCGCGUGCGGGAUGACGGCCUUCGGGUUGUAAACCGCUUUCGCCUGUGACGAAGCGUGAGUGACGGUAAUGGGUAAAGAAGCACCGGCUAACUACGUG
Molecule: ribosomal RNA, 467 nt
Filed under: uncultured bacterium
Lineage: Bacteria
Description: partial 16S ribosomal RNA
Rfam family: Bacterial small subunit ribosomal RNA
Source: RNAcentral